Transfer RNA from Ovis aries (sheep), 72 nucleotides. It matches the Rfam family "tRNA". From Rfam's summary of the family: Transfer RNA (tRNA) molecules are approximately 80 nucleotides in length. The record is from Rfam. NCBI's taxonomy places the organism in Eukaryota, Metazoa, Chordata, Mammalia, Artiodactyla, Bovidae.
UCCCUUGUGGCUCAGGUGGUAAAGAAUCUGCCUGCAAUGCAGGAGACGUGGGUUCGAUCCCUGCAUUGGGAA